UCUCACUCUCCACCUCCAUCUCCACCUUCUGCACUAAGACUUUGUGGACAAAUUCACUGAUGAUCUGACAUUUUGCUCCGCAUCUGUGAUACUCCCUCAUUUGGUGUUUUGAUGGCGAUGAAGAGUGAUGUCUAACAAGCCAGCCCAAAAUCUCAGACAGAGUUUGAGGUGCCAGAA
Molecule: long non-coding RNA, 177 nt
Organism: Thunnus maccoyii (southern bluefin tuna)
Lineage: Eukaryota; Metazoa; Chordata; Actinopteri; Scombriformes; Scombridae
Exons: 3
Source: RefSeq, a predicted model, not a curated record